CCUACGGGAGGCAGCAGUAGGGAAUAUUGGUCAAUGGGUGAGAGCCUGAACCAGCCAUGCCGCGUGCAGGAAGAAGGCCUUCUGGGUUGUAAACUGCUUUUGCCAGGGGAUAAAAAUACCUUGCGAGGUAAAUUGAAGGUACCUGGUGAAUGAGCCACGGCUAACUACGUGCCAGCAGCCGCGGUAAUACGUAGGUGGCAAGCGUUGUCCGGAUUUAUUGGGUUUAAAGGGUGCGUAGGCGGCCCUGUAAGUCAGUGCUGAAAUAUCCCAGCUUAACUGGGAGGGUGGCAUUGAUACUGCGGGGCUAGAGUACAGAUGAGGUAGGCGGAAUUGACGGUGUAGCGGUGAAAUGCUUAGAUAUCGUCAAGAACACCUAUAGCGAAGGCAGCUUACUAGGCUGUAACUGACGCUGAGGCACGAAAGUGUGGGGAUCAAACGGGAUUAGAUACCCUGGUAGUCCACACUGUAAACGUUGAUUACUCGCUGUGUGCGAUAUACAGUACGCGGCCAAGCGAAAGCGCUAAGUAAUCCACCUGGGGAGUACGCCGGCAACGGUGAAACUCAAAGGAAUUGACGG
RNAcentral lists this ribosomal RNA (577 nucleotides) under uncultured bacterium. RNAcentral's name for it is "bacterial SSU rRNA". It matches the Rfam family "Bacterial small subunit ribosomal RNA", at positions 338 to 916 of the family's 1533-position model. The record is from RNAcentral.